UACAGAGGUCUCAAGCGUUGUUCGGAUUCAUUGGGCGUAAAGGGUGUGUAGGUGGCGCCGUAAGUCGGGUGUGAAAUUUCGGAGCUUAACUCCGAAACUGCAUUCGAUACUGCGGUGCUUGAGGACUGGAGAGGAGACUGGAAUUCAUGGUGUAGCAGUGAAAUGCGUAGAGAUCAUGAGGAAGACCAGUGGCGAAGGCGGGUCGUCUGGACAGUUCCUGACACUGAGGCACGAAGGCCAGGGGAGCAAACGGG
RNAcentral lists this ribosomal RNA (254 nucleotides) under uncultured bacterium. RNAcentral's name for it is "partial 16S ribosomal RNA". It matches the Rfam family "Bacterial small subunit ribosomal RNA", at positions 524 to 776 of the family's 1533-position model. The record is from RNAcentral.